Molecule: ribosomal RNA, 395 nt
Filed under: uncultured bacterium
Lineage: Bacteria
Description: partial 16S ribosomal RNA
Rfam family: Bacterial small subunit ribosomal RNA
Source: RNAcentral
AUACGUAGGGUGCAAGCGUUAAUCGGAAUUACUGGGCGUAAAGCGUGCGCAGGCGGUUUUGUAAGACAGUGGUGAAAUCCCCGGGCUCAACCUGGGAACUGCCAUCGUGACUGCAGGGCUGGAGUGCGGCAGAGGGGGAUGGAAUUCCGCGUGUAGCAGUGAAAUGCGUAGAUAUGCGGAGGAACACCGAUGGCGAAGGCAAUCCCCUGGGCCUGCACUGACGGUCAUGCACGAAAGCGGGGGGAGCAAACAGGAUUAGAUACCCUGGUAGUCCACGCCCUAAACGAUGUCAACUGGUUGUUGGGUCUUCAGUGACUCAGUAACGAAGCUAACGCGUGAAGUUGACCGCCUGGGGAGUACGGCCGCAAGGUUGAAACUCAAAUGAAUUGACGGGG